GCCGGGAUUCCUGAGCCUGGUACAGGGCAGGCCUGGAGAGCCUGUGGCCCUUACGGGCCGCGUGGGUUCAAAUCCCACUCCCGGCGCCA
RNAcentral lists this transfer RNA (89 nucleotides) under Candidatus Bathyarchaeota archaeon. Its description in RNAcentral is "tRNA-Ser". It matches the Rfam family "tRNA". From Rfam's summary of the family: Transfer RNA (tRNA) molecules are approximately 80 nucleotides in length. Their secondary structure includes four short double-helical elements and three loops (D, anti-codon, and T loops). The record is from RNAcentral. Lineage: Archaea; Thermoproteati; Candidatus Bathyarchaeota.